CAGGGGCAGGAGCCUGCAGCCAGAGGCCUGCAGAGGAGCAGGGUCCCCAGGGGGAGUUGCUUCCUACUUACCGGGUCAGCUGCCUUAGUAUAAAUCAGAACAUGUUCCCCCUCUGCUCAAGUGCCUUCAGUGGCUCCCAGCUCACUGAGAGUGCGAGCCAUGGGUCUCCGGUGGUGAUGGAGCUGUAUGCAAACAGGUGGAGUCUGGCGCCCUUGAUAGCGGCGGGAUUGUGCCCACAAUGUUGCCUUUCUGCUGGAAGCCAACCUCGGAAGGAGGUGAUUUCGUGGGAAGCACCCAGUCUUUCCUGGCUGACUUUUGCUCUGUUCCAUGGCGUGGGCUCCAAGUCAAUAAGUGGCGUCAAGAAAGAUGGCAGAGAAAAAGCUUCAUGAAUCACAGAAGCUUGCCCAAUGGGAAAUAAACAGAGGGAGCUUUUCUGGGGACUUGUUGUGUUCCUCCCUGUCCUGUGCCUAUCCCCCUCACUCAUCACAGUGCUGUAACGAGGUCAGAUGAUACUCCCACUGACUAGAUAAGAACAGGACACUGAGAUGCUGAGUACUCUGCCUACAGUCACACAGACAGCAAGACAUAGAGUGAGGAUUCGAUCCCUGUUCUCUGACAGCAAAUCUCGUGUUCCUAGGGAUCUCGGAACAGGGACUCCCAUUGUGGGCCACACACACUCAACCCAAAGCUGAGCUCAGAGCUAAGGAGCCUGCUUUCCUCACAGCAGGUGCUCAGCCUGAACGAGGAGGAGUGCACCUUCACACCCAGGCUGAGCAGGUUCCAGGCCACUGGCUCUGGGGGUGGCAGGUAUCUGUCAUUCCUGAGGCUCAGAGAAAUUUGCAUUUUCUUUUUCAUAAGGGUCUUCCAGACUGCAGAGAGCCCCUGCAGCCAUUCCCUCAAGAAUAGAUAUGGCCUGAGUGGAUGGAAUAGGACUUGGCCCUGUCCCCUCCUGCUGUGUAACCCUCCCUGCACC
This 973-nucleotide long non-coding RNA is filed under the name Fukomys damarensis (Damara mole-rat). RNAcentral describes it as "lncRNA (ENSFDAG00000027922.1)". Lineage: Eukaryota; Metazoa; Chordata; Mammalia; Rodentia; Bathyergidae. The record is from RNAcentral.